GGUAUUUUAACCGUGCGAAGGUAGCGCAAUCACUUGCCCUUUAAUUGAGGACCUGUAUGAAAGGCAUAACGAGGGCUUGACUGUCUCCUCUCUUAGGUCAGUGAACUUGAUCUCUCCGUGCAGAAGCGGGGAUAUGAAUAUAAGACGAGAAGACCCUGUGGAGCUUUAGACAUGGUGCUUAUCACUAUUGAGACUUUCUCCUGAAUAGAAACUAUUAGGUGACCCCUGCCCCAUGUCUUUGGUUGGGGCGACCACGGGAAAAUAAAGAACACCCGCGCGGACUGGGCUGACUAAGCCCUACAACCAAGAGCCACAGCUCUAACUAACAGAACUUCUGACCUUUUGAGACCCGGCAAACGCCGAUCAACGGACCGAGUUACCCCAGGGAUAACAGCGCAAUCCCCUUAUAGAGCUCUUAUCCCUAAGGGGGUUUACGAACCUCGAUGUUGGAUCAGGAC
This 458-nucleotide ribosomal RNA is filed under the name Trachypoma macracanthus (Toadstool groper). Its description in RNAcentral is "partial 16S ribosomal RNA". It matches the Rfam family "Bacterial large subunit ribosomal RNA", at positions 1935 to 2543 of the family's 2925-position model. The record is from RNAcentral. Lineage: Eukaryota; Metazoa; Chordata; Actinopteri; Perciformes; Anthiadidae.